UAAAACUAAGUUGCUAUAACUUUUGAUUUAUACACUUUAAUUUAAAUAUGAUCAACUUUGUUUUAAAUAAGAAAAAUGUUUGAUUGAUCAAAGUAUUGUUAAACACCUUUGAAUUAAUGUUUUUCUAUUUUGAAAUAUAAUAGAGUAAACUCAGAAAACUUGGUUGUUCAUUUAAAGACGUUUAAUAUUAAAUUCAUUUACGUUUAUUUUUGAUACGAAAAUAAAUGCUCUUUGAAUCAAAGUUAAAACUCAUUACAUCAAAGUGGCAACUCAUUUGAUUUUUGAUAUACACUACUACUAUAAGAUCUAGACAAUAAUUGUCUUAUACAUAUGCAGUAUGCACGUAUCCUCUUUUGUUACCAACACCAAUACGAUUUUCUGUGAAUAUUCAUGUCGAGACGCGUACGCCAAGAAAUGUGUUUCAUUCAAAGGUGUUUCGAUUUGAAUCAUAUACAUAUGCACUUUAAACCAAAGUAAAAAUGAGACAAAUCAAAGUUGUAAUCCUUUGACUCGUGAAUGAUGCCGGUCGAGUAAUUUAUUUGCCAUUCGCUCUAGUUUCGUGGCUGUGAACAGUUCUAAGAAAAGUUUAAAGUAUUAAGUAAGACAAAUAAAAUAAAAUAAAAUCUAUUUAUAAUGGUGAAAAACAUCAAUGAUAAAAAUCAGAUAGGACGAAAGUGGACAACUAUUGAAUUUAAUUUAUUCAAAUUCUUCCAACGACCAGGACAAUACAAUAAAGCUACAUAUUGAGGGAAUUUGAUUUAGAAAUUCUCAUUCAGAAAUUUAAAGAAACAAAUAUUACAUACGCUGCCUUCAAUUUUUGUCGAAAGAGGAUAUCAAAGAAAUACUACUAGACUGAGAGCUGAAUUUUGAGAAAAAUUAUUCCUUUGGAGAAAGAAGGAGUUUUGAGUUGACGACGAAACCCUUUCAGCAAUUUCAAAAGUGACAAAUUGGCAGUGCCAAAACUGCAACAAUUCUGAAGCGGGCUCAUCAACACAAACAUCAAGCACAAAUUUAUUUUUAAAAUUGAUAUUUUAAAACUUAUGAACUCAUCAUCAAAAGGAAAAGCUGUGAUCGAUUUAUAUAAAAGGGUAUCAGUUUGAAAACGCCCAAAGAGAUGCCCUUAUACAAAUCAUAAUUGAGGAGGUAAAUUGGGCAUAUUAUGUCUUGCCAUGAGCAACCUCAAAUGUAACAUUUGACACAACGGCUAUAUAAAACUUAUAUGUAUGUAUAUCGUAAGCUUAUACACAAUAAAUCAUGUUGAAGAAAAUUCUUGUUUUUUUUUCAAUUUUUUGAUAAAGGUAUUAUUUUUUUGAAUCAAAAGCGGAUCGUAUUUAAAACAAUGAUAGAGCACUUUA
Eupeodes corollae is the source of this 1355-nucleotide long non-coding RNA. RefSeq lists it as uncharacterized. The transcript is spliced from 4 exons. The record is from RefSeq and is a predicted model, not a curated record. Lineage: Eukaryota; Metazoa; Arthropoda; Insecta; Diptera; Syrphidae.